Molecule: ribosomal RNA, 634 nt
Filed under: uncultured bacterium
Lineage: Bacteria
Description: bacterial SSU rRNA
Rfam family: Bacterial small subunit ribosomal RNA
Source: RNAcentral
AGAGUUUGAUGAUGGCUCAGAAUCAACGCUGGCGGCGUGCUUAACACAUGCAAGUCGCACGAGAACUCUUUAAGCUUGCUUAGAGAUAGUAAAGUGGCGCACGGGUGAGUAACGCGUGGGUAAUCUACCCUUGAAUCUGGAAUAACACGCCGAAAGGCGUGCUAAUACCGGAUAAAAUCAUUUUAACCUUGGUUUAAAUGACCAAAGGUGGCCUCUACAUGUAAGCUACCGUUUAAGGAUGAACCCGCGUACCAUUAGCUUGUUGGUGGGGUAAUGGCCUACCAAGGCGACGAUGGUUAGCUGGUCUGAGAGGAUGAUCAGCCACACUGGAACUGACACACGGUCCAGACUCCUACGGGAGGCAGCAGUGAGGAAUUUUGCGCAAUGGGGGGAACCCUGACGCAGCAACGCCGCGUGAGUGAUGAAGGCCUUCGGGUCGUAAAGCUCUGUCAAGUGGGAAGAACCUACCAAAUGAUAAUACCAUUUUUUACUGACGGUACCACUGAAGGAAGCACCGGCUAACUCCGUGCCAGCAGCCGCGGUAAUACGGAGGGUGCCAGCGUUAUUCCGAUUUACUGGGCGUAAAGGGCGCGUAGGCCGUCUUAUAAGUCAGAUGUGAAAGCCCGGGGCUCAA